UCCGUGCCAGCAGCCGCGGUAAUACGGAGGGUGCGAGCGUUAAUCGGGAAUUACUGGGCGUAAAGCGCAUGCAGGUGGUUUGUUAAGUCAGAUGUGAAAGCCCCGGGGCUCAACCUCGGAAUUGACAUUUGAAACUGGCAAACUAGAGUACUGGUAGAGGGGGUAGAAUUUCAGGUGUAGCGGUGAAAUGCGUAGAGAUCUGAAGGAAUACCGGUGGCGAAGGCGGCCCCCUGGACAGAUACUGACACUCAGAUGCGAAAGCGUGGGGAGCAAACAGGAUUAGAUACCCUGGUAG
RNAcentral lists this ribosomal RNA (295 nucleotides) under uncultured bacterium. RNAcentral describes it as "partial 16S ribosomal RNA". It matches the Rfam family "Bacterial small subunit ribosomal RNA", at positions 502 to 793 of the family's 1533-position model. The record is from RNAcentral.